AACGAACGCUGGCGGCAGGCUUAACACAUGCAAGUCGAGCGCAUCCUUCGCAGUGAGCGGCAGACGGGUGAGUAACGCGUGGGAAUCUACCUUUUGCUACGGAAUAGCUCCGGGAAACUGGAAUUAAUACCGUAUGUGCCCUUAGGGGGAAAGAUUUAUCGGCAAGAGAUGAGCCCGCGUUGGAUUAGCUAGUUGGUGGGGUAAAGGCCUACCAAGGCGACGAUCCAUAGCUGGUCUGAGAGGAUGAUCAGCCACAUUGGGACUGAGACACGGCCCAAACUCCUACGGGAGGCAGCAGUGGGGAAUAUUGGACAAUGGGCGCAAGCCUGGUCCAGCCAUGCCGCGUGAGUGAAGAAGGCCUUAGGGUUGUAAAGCACUUUCAGCGAGGAGGAAGGCAUCAUACUUAAUACGUGUGGUGAUUGACGUUACUCGCAGAAGAAGCACCGGCUAACUCCGUGCCAGCAGCCGCGGUAAUACGGAGGGUGCAAGCGUUAAUCGGAAUUACUGGGCGUAAAGCGCACGCAGGCGGUUUGUUAAGUCAGAUGUGAAAUCCCCGCGCUUAACGUGGGAACUGCAUUUGAAACUGGCAAGCUAGAGUCUUGUAGAGGGGGGUAGAAUUCCAGGUGUAGCGGUGGAAUGCGUAGAUAUAUGGAAGAACACCAGUGGCGAAGGCGGCUACCUGGUCUGCAACUGACGCUGAGACUCGAAAGCAUGGGUAGCGAACAGG
RNAcentral lists this ribosomal RNA (727 nucleotides) under Mesomycoplasma hyorhinis. RNAcentral's name for it is "bacterial SSU rRNA". It matches the Rfam family "Bacterial small subunit ribosomal RNA", at positions 28 to 776 of the family's 1533-position model. Lineage: Bacteria; Bacillati; Mycoplasmatota; Mycoplasmoidales; Metamycoplasmataceae. The record is from RNAcentral.